Oncorhynchus nerka (sockeye salmon) is the source of this 2019-nucleotide long non-coding RNA. RefSeq lists it as uncharacterized. Lineage: Eukaryota; Metazoa; Chordata; Actinopteri; Salmoniformes; Salmonidae. The transcript has 3 exons. The record is from RefSeq and is a predicted model, not a curated record.
UUUCUCUAUCUGACAUGGUACAGGUUUCUCUAUCUGACAUGGUACAGGUUUCUUCUGUAAUGUUGUUGUCCUUUUUUAUGUGUUCAGACCAUGUGUGUGAGGUUUAUACUUUUGUUUCAGAGUAGAUUUGAUUAAGACUAACAAGUAACACUGUGACCCUGAUUUAGCCCACUGCAUUUAAAGGUUAAACACUCUGUGUGACCCUGAUUUAGCCCACUGUGGUAAAAGGUUAAACACUCUGUGUGACCCUGAUUUAGCCCACUGUGGUAAAAGGUUAAACACUCUGUGUGACCCUGAUUUAGCCCACUGUGGUAAAAGGUUUAUAAUUUAAAACACUUGUCCCCCACCCUCUCAAAUACACAUGUAAAUAUUGGACUAUAAAUUCUGCCUUCCUGUAUUAUACUGAUGCUAAAAUGUUUAUUCUAUUCUACCGAGACAAUUCAUUUAUGUUCGUAAUCUUAUAUUUUAUUAUUUAUUAUUGUUGAAUAAUGUCUAGAAGGAACCUGUCAGUCAGCAUUUGGUUGAAUAAUGUCUAGAAGGAAUCUGUCAGUCAGCAUUUGGUUGAAUAAUGUCUAGAAGGAACCUGUCAGUCAGCAUUUGGUUGAAUAAUGUCUAGAAGGAAUCUGUCAGUCAGCAUUUGGUUGAAUAAUGUCUAGAAGGAAUCUGUCAGUCAGCAUUUGGUUGAAUAAUGUCUAGAAGGAACCUGUCAGUCAGCAUUUGGUUGAAUAAUGUCUAGAAGGAACCUGUCAGUCAGCAUUUGGUUGAAUAAUGUCUAGAAGGAACCUGUCAGUCAGCAUUUGGUUGAAUAAUGUCUAGAAGGAACCUGUCAGUCAGCAUUUGGUUGAAUAAUGUCUAGAAGGAACCUGUCAGUCAGCAUUUGGUUGAAUAAUGUCUAGAAGGAACCUGUCAGUCAGCAUUUGGUUGAAUAAUGUCUAGAACGAACCUGUCAGUCAGCAUUUGGUUGAAUAAUGUCUAGAAGGAACCUGUCAGUCAGCAUUUGGUUGAAUAAUGUCUAGAAGGAACCUGUCAGUCAGCAUUUGGUUGAAUAAUGUCUAGCAUGUGUAUUCUGUACGUACAACUAGUACAUCUCUCUCUCUCUAUUACAAUAAGCCCAGCGUUUGACAGCCCAGCGUUUGACAGCCCAGCGUUUGACAGCCCAGCGUUUGACAGCCCAGCUAGAGAUUUUGAUGAAACUGUGGAAUUUCUGAAACCGUCUCAGGGAAGCUCAUCGUCUUCCCCAGGGUCUUGACCUGACUGCAGUUUGGCGUCGUAACCAACUUCAGUGGGCAAAUGCUCAACUUCGAUGGCCACUGGCACGCUGGAGAAGUCUGCUCUUCACAGAUGAAUCCCGGUUUCAACUGUACCGGGCAGAUGGAAGACCAUUCGUAUCCCCUAUGAAAAGAAUCCACCUUGUCACACCAGACACAGUGUUCACUAUGUUGUCACGAGACUCUGAUCAUUUUGGCCAUCUGCUUUGUGACUUCCUGUGACAUCAGGUCGCUAGGCAACCGCUCCCCUGCUGUUAGAAUUUCCAUGCAUCACUGUCCAUGGCAACCACAUGACACUUUCACACCUUUAACAUUCUACAGCUAAUUAAAUACCAUAUAUAUAUAUACCAAAUACCAUAUUGCUAUGGCAACAACAACAACACUACUGUUUUCCUUUUCUGAGAGCACGAACUCUGAAGGAGCAUCAACUCUCAGAGUUCUACAGUGCUUGAUAGGAAGUAGUCAAAAAUAACCUAGACUCGGCAUCAAUAUGUAGUCUUUACCAAUCCAAUAUGGUAUUAAUUCUGUUGUGUGUCUACUGGGCCAAUCCCCAACACUCCCUCACUGCCGACAACAAGCAGAUCAUCUCUGAACAACACGUCACUUACAGGGGACUUCAGUUAUGUGGGAGUAAAUGGAAAUUAAGUCCAUUUUAUUUUGUAUUUUUUUAUAUUUUUACUAGUUUCUAUUUAUUUAUUUUUUUGUUAUUUUAUUUGAUAUUUUUUGUUUAUUUCUUUUUUAAAUAAUCUUU